UCCCUGGUGGCUCAGACGGUAAAGCGUCUGCCCGCAAUGCGGGAGACCUGGGUUCGAUUCCUGGGUCGGGAA
Molecule: non-coding RNA, 72 nt
Organism: Bos taurus (domestic cattle)
Lineage: Eukaryota; Metazoa; Chordata; Mammalia; Artiodactyla; Bovidae
Source: Rfam